GACGAACGCUGGCGGCGUGCUUAACACAUGCAAGUCGAACGGAGAGGCCCUGCUUUUGUGGGGUGCUCGAGUGGCGAACGGGUGAGUAACACGUGAGUAACCUGCCCUUGACUUUGGGAUAACUUCAGGAAACUGGGGCUAAUACCGGAUAGGAGCUCCUGCUGCAUGGUGGGGGUUGGAAAGUUUCGGCGGUUGGGGAUGGACUCGCGGCUUAUCAGCUUGUUGGUGGGGUAGUGGCUUACCAAGGCUUUGACGGGUAGCCGGCCUGAGAGGGUGACCGGCCACAUUGGGACUGAGAGACGGCCCAGACUCCAACGGGAGGCAGCAGUGGGGAAUAUUGCACAAUGGGCGGAAGCCUGAUGCAGCAACGCCGCGUGCGGGAUGACGGCCUUCGGGUUGUAAACCGCUUUCGCCUGUGACGAAGCGUGAGUGACGGUAAUGGGUAAAGAAGCACCGGCUAACUACGUG
Molecule: ribosomal RNA, 468 nt
Filed under: uncultured bacterium
Lineage: Bacteria
Description: partial 16S ribosomal RNA
Rfam family: Bacterial small subunit ribosomal RNA
Source: RNAcentral